This 685-nucleotide ribosomal RNA is filed under the name Enterococcus faecium. RNAcentral describes it as "bacterial SSU rRNA". It matches the Rfam family "Bacterial small subunit ribosomal RNA", at positions 1 to 662 of the family's 1533-position model. Lineage: Bacteria; Bacillati; Bacillota; Bacilli; Lactobacillales; Enterococcaceae. The record is from RNAcentral.
UUAGAGUUUGAUCCCUGCUCAGGACGAACGCUGGCGGCGUGCCUAAUACAUGCAAGUCGAACGCUUCUUUUUCCACCGGAGCUUGCUCCACCGGAAAAAGAAGAGUGGCGAACGGGUGAGUAACACGUGGGUAACCUGCCCAUCAGAAGGGGAUAACACUUGGAAACAGGUGCUAAUACCGUAUAACAAUCAAAACCGCAUGGUUUUGAUUUGAAAGGCGCUUUCGGGUGUCGCUGAUGGAUGGACCCGCGGUGCAUUAGCUAGUUGGUGAGGUAACGGCUCACCAAGGCCACGAUGCAUAGCCGACCUGAGAGGGUGAUCGGCCACAUUGGGACUGAGACACGGCCCAAACUCCUACGGGAGGCAGCAGUAGGGAAUCUUCGGCAAUGGACGAAAGUCUGACCGAGCAACGCCGCGUGAGUGAAGAAGGUUUUCGGAUCGUAAAACUCUGUUGUUAGAGAAGAACAAGGAUGAGAGUAACUGUUCAUCCCUUGACGGUAUCUAACCAGAAAGCCACGGCUAACUACGUGCCAGCAGCCGCGGUAAUACGUAGGUGGCAAGCGUUGUCCGGAUUUAUUGGGCGUAAAGCGAGCGCAGGCGGUUUCUUAAGUCUGAUGUGAAAGCCCCCGGCUCAACCGGGGAGGGUCAUUGGAAACUGGGAGACUUGAGUGCAGAAGAGGAGANG